Molecule: long non-coding RNA, 2579 nt
Organism: Oncorhynchus gorbuscha (pink salmon)
Lineage: Eukaryota; Metazoa; Chordata; Actinopteri; Salmoniformes; Salmonidae
Exons: 3
Source: RefSeq, a predicted model, not a curated record
GUUAGGGCUCAGCCAGGUUGGACUGUAGUGGUAGUUAUGGCUCAGCCAGGUUGGACUAGUGGUAGUUAGGGCUCAGCCAGGUUGGACUGUAGUGGUAGUUAUGGCUCAGCCAGGUUGGACUGUAGUGGUAGUUAGGGCUCAGCCAGGUUGGACUGUAGUGGUAGUUAGGGCUCAGCCAGGUUGAACUGUAGUGGUAGUUAGGGCUCAGCCAGGUUGGACUGUAGUGGUAGUUAGGGCUCAGCCAGGUUGAACUGUAGUGGUAGUUAGGGCUCAGCCAGGUUGGACUAGUGGUAGUUAAGGCUCAGCCAGGUUGGACUAGUGGUAGUUAGGGCUCAGCCAGGUUGGACUAGUGGUAGUUAGGGCUCAGCCAGGUUGGGCUGUAGUGGUAGUUAGGGCUCAGCCAGGUUGGGCUGUAGUGGUAGUUAUGGCUCAGCCAGGUUGGACUGUAGUGGUAGUUAGGGCUCAGCCAGGUUGGACUAGUGGUAGUUAGGGCUCAGCCAGGUUGGACUAGUGGUAGUUAGGGCUCAGCCAGGUUGGACUAGUGGUAGUUAGGGCUCAGCCAGGUUGGACUAGUGGUAGUUAGGGCUCAGCCAGGUUGGACUGUAGUGGUAAUUAGGGCUCAGCCAGGUUGGACUAGUGGUAGUUAGGGCUCAGCCAGGUUGGGCUGUAGUGGUCGUUAGGGCUCAGCCAGGUUGGGCUGUAGUGGUCGUUAGGGCUCAGCCAGGUUGGACUGUAGUGGUAGUUAGGGCUCAGCCAGGUUGGACUGUAGUGGUAGUUAGGGCUCAGCCAGGUUGGACUGUAGUGGUAGUUAUGGCUCAGCCAGGUUGGACUGUAGUGGUAAUUAGGGCUCAGCCAGGUUGGGCUGUAGUGGUAGUUAUGGCUCAGCCAGGUUGGACUGUAGUGGUAGUUAGGGCUCAGCCAGGUUGGACUGUAGUGGUAGUUAGGGCUCAGCCAGGUUGGACUGUAGUGGUAGUUAGGGCUCAGCCAGGUUGGACUGUAGUGGUAGUUAUGGCUCAGCCAGGUUGGACUGUAGUGGUAGUUAGGGCUCAGCCAGGUUGGACUGUAGUGGUAGUUAGGGCUCAGCCAGGUUGAACUGUAGUGGUAGUUAGGGCUCAGCCAGGUUGGACUGUAGUGGUAGUUAGGGCUCAGCCAGGUUGAACUGUAGUGGUAGUUAGGGCUCAGCCAGGUUGGACUAGUGGUAGUUAGGGCUCAGCCAGGUUGGACUAGUGGUAGUUAGGGCUCAGCCAGGUUGGACUAGUGGUAGUUAGGGCUCAGCCAGGUUGGACUAGUGGUAGUUAGGGCUCAGCCAGGUUGGGCUGUAGUGGUAGUUAGGGCUCAGCCAGGUUGGGCUGUAGUGGUAGUUAGGGCUCAGCCAGGUUGGGCUGUAGUGGUAGUUAGGGCUCAGCCAGGUUGGACUGUAGUGGUAGUUAGGGCUCAGCCAGGUUGAACUGUAGUGGUAGUUAGGGCUCAGCCAGGUUGAACUGUAGUGGUAGUUAGGGCUCAGCCAGGUUGAACUGUAGUGGUCGUUAGGGCUCAGCCAGGUUGGACUGCAGUGGUAGUUAUGGCUCAGCCAGGUUGGACUGUAGUGGUAGUUAGGGCUCAGCCAGGUUGGACUGUAGUGGUCGUUAGGGCUCAGCCAGGUUGAACUGUAGUAGUCGUUAGGGCUCAGCCAGGUUUUUUUCAUAUUUUGAAAGAUGGAAGAUUGAAAAUUACCUCCAUUUAAUUUACACUUCUUUGUUUUGUUCAUUUCUAUGGAAAUGUGAUUGGGAUCAGGUCAUUGGGGUUAUUCCAAAGAGCUAGAUCAUUAAGUUAGCCAGCAACUAACUCUUAAUAAACAGUCACAGAUAUCUCUUGAUUUUUCUGUUUUAAUUUAGAAACAGAAACUUGACUAUUGUUUUUCGUUUUAUAUUUUAUUGAGUUAAUUAUACCGUGCUAAUUUCAAGUGUAAUAUUUCUGGGAAAUGGGAUGUUAUUACAGAAUAUUUAGGACAGUUAACAUGAUUAAUGUAUAUAUCCUCCUUUCUGGAUGAAAAAACCAUGAGGCCCUGCGUCGUCUGUGGUGCGUAUGGAUGGAUGAACGUCAUGUUGACUACAGUGAGUCAGAACAUUUAGAAAGAACUAGAUAAGAAUGCAUCCAUCUUUUUUCAGACCAAUUAAGUCCUGUGUGUGGAUGCAGUACACACAAAUACAUGUGUAGCCCAACACAACCAGUGGACACUGAAGUGUCUUUGUGUGUUAGUGUAGACUAGGGCUGGGAUUCAACCCCUUCAGCUGUACAUCUGGGUUAUAAGCAAGCUUGACGUUUUCAAGGUAAUAUCUGAUUGAGCCAAUAUAUGCAGUGUUCACAGUGAAUGUGGGAUUGGAUUGAAUACCUGGCCCACAUUAAAAAGACAAAAAUAAAGCUAAUAUUGAUUACACAUUCAAGGAAAAUAAGGUUAUUGCAAUGCAUAGGCUAAAGAAUAAGAAUGACGUGGAACAAAAUAAUCAAUAUCUUCCAGUUUACUGUACAGUUAAUCAAGUUGUAAGAUGUCGCCGUCGACUAACCCACAGACUGGAAUAUUCUCUCUCUCUCUCUCUCUC